CACACACACACACACACACAGGCACACGCACACGCACACAAAUGAAGGCAAACUAUAAAGUGAAACAUCUGUUGCUCAGAUGAGUAUUUGGAACACUGAGUGCUUCGGAUUAUCCUCAGAAGGUGUGUUAGGAGGUGGCUCUCUGUGGACUUGGCCCCAGGGGAGGUCAACCCGACUCUCUCGGCCUGUUGGCUCAGCAAUUUCCCAGUGGUCAGCCCGUCUUGCCAUAAUCAUAUGCUGGCGCCCCAAGCCUGUUUCUUAACUGUACUCUGUACCUUCUAAUGAAAGCAUCCCAAAAUAUCUCCAACCGCCCAAACUCUGGGGCAGCCAUGACCUCAGACUGGACGGCUGGACACACUGCAUUUGCUCAGACAGAAUGAUAAAAAUCUCCCCGCCCUGA
Molecule: long non-coding RNA, 400 nt
Organism: Canis lupus familiaris (dog)
Lineage: Eukaryota; Metazoa; Chordata; Mammalia; Carnivora; Canidae
Exons: 2
Source: RefSeq, a predicted model, not a curated record